UAGCAUAUCAAUAAGCGGAAGGAAAAGAAACCCAACAGGGAUUGCCCUAGUAACGGCGAGUGAAGCGGCAACAGCUCAAAUUUGAAAUCUGGCCUCACGGUCCGAAUUGUAAUUUGUAGAGGAUGUUUCUGGCGACGUGUCUUCCGAGUUCCCUGGAACGGGACGCCAUAGAGGGUGAGAGCCCCGUCCGGUCGUACACCUAGCCUCUGUGAAACUCCUUCGACGAGUCGAGUAGUUUGGGAAUGCUGCUCUAAAUGGGAGGUAUACGUCUUCUAAAGCUAAAUACCGGCCAGAGACCGAUAGCGCACAAGUAGAGUGAUCGAAAGAUGAAAAGCACUUUGAAAAGAGGGUUAAAUAGUACGUGAAAUUGCUGAAAGGGAAGCGCUUAUGACCAGACUUGGGCUCGGUGAAUCAUCCGGCGUUCUCGCCGGUGCACUUUGCCGUCCCAGGCCAGCAUCAGUUCGCGCCGGGGGAUAAAGGUUUCGGGAAUGUAGCUCCCUCGGGAGUGUUAUAGCCCGUUGCGUAAUACCCUGGCGUGGACUGAGGUCCGCGCUCUGCAAGGAUGCUGGCGUAAUGGUCAUCAGUGACCCGUCUUGAAACACGGACCAAGGAGUCGUCUUCGUAUGCGAGUGUUCGGGUGUCAAACCCCUACGCGUAAUGAAAGUGAACGUAGGAGAGAGCUUCGGCGCAUCUCCGACCGAUCCUGAUGUUCUCGGAUGGAUUUGAGUAAGAGCAUACGGGGCCGGACCCGAAAGAAGGUGAACUAUGCCUGUAUAGGGUGAAGCCAGAGGAAACUCUGGUGGAGGCUCGCAGCGGUUCUGACGUGCAAAUCGAUCGUCAAAUAUGGGCAUGGGGGGCGAAAGACUAAUCGAACCUUCUAGUAGCUGGGUUCCGCCG
This 897-nucleotide ribosomal RNA is filed under the name Acremonium sclerotigenum. Its description in RNAcentral is "LSU rRNA". It matches the Rfam family "Eukaryotic large subunit ribosomal RNA", at positions 36 to 963 of the family's 3401-position model. The record is from RNAcentral. Lineage: Eukaryota; Fungi; Ascomycota; Sordariomycetes; Hypocreales; Bionectriaceae.